This 75-nucleotide transfer RNA is filed under the name Lodderomyces elongisporus NRRL YB-4239. Its description in RNAcentral is "tRNA-Cys (GCA) (tRNA-Cys-GCA-1-1)". It matches the Rfam family "tRNA". From Rfam's summary of the family: Transfer RNA (tRNA) molecules are approximately 80 nucleotides in length. Their secondary structure includes four short double-helical elements and three loops (D, anti-codon, and T loops). Further hydrogen bonds mediate the characteristic L-shaped molecular structure. tRNAs have two regions of fundamental functional importance: the anti-codon, which is responsible for specific mRNA codon recognition, and the 3' end, to which the tRNAs corresponding amino acid is attached (by aminoacyl-tRNA synthetases). tRNAs cope with the degeneracy of the genetic code in two manners: having more than one tRNA (with a specific anti-codon) for a particular amino acid; and 'wobble' base-pairing, i.e. permitting non-standard base-pairing at the 3rd anti-codon position. Lineage: Eukaryota; Fungi; Ascomycota; Pichiomycetes; Serinales; Debaryomycetaceae. The record is from RNAcentral.
GCGUUGAUAGCAUAGUGGUCUUAUUGCAACUGAUUGCAAAUCAGUAGGUCCCCGGUUCGACUCCGGGUCAACGCU